This 253-nucleotide ribosomal RNA is filed under the name uncultured bacterium. RNAcentral's name for it is "partial 16S ribosomal RNA". It matches the Rfam family "Bacterial small subunit ribosomal RNA", at positions 524 to 776 of the family's 1533-position model. The record is from RNAcentral.
UACGUAGGAGGCAAGCGUUGUCCGGAAUUACUGGGCGUAAAGCGCGUGUAGGUGGUGGGGCAAGUCUGCUGUGAAAGCGCCUGGCUUAACCGGGCGAGGUCGGCGGAAACUGUUCGACUCGAGGACGGUAGAGGGGGGUGGAAUUCCCGGUGUAGUGGUGAAAUGCGUAGAGAUCGGGAGGAACACCUGUGGCGAAGGCGGCCCCCUGGGCCGGCCCUGACACUGAGACGCGAAGGCGUGGGGAGCGAACGGG